GCCAUCGAAAGUCUAAGGUUUCCUGGGGAAGGUUCGUCCGCCCAGGGUAAGUCGGGACCUAAGGAGAGGCCGAAAGGCGUAUCCGAUGGACAGCAGGUUGAGAUUCCUGCACCACUGAUAUACUUAAAAGAUGCAAGGGACACAGAAGUGGAAGGAAAGCGAGGAAGAGGAAAAACUCGUAUCGAAAGAUAUAGUGAAAAUAAAGUAACGAAUUCUCAAGAAGCACACUGGCGAGAAAAGCUUGUGAGUCUUGUAUAUAGGUGCCCGUACCGCAAACCGACACAGGUAGAUGAGGAGAAGAUCCUAAGAUGAGCGAGAGAAGCAUUGUUAAGGAACUCGGCAAACUGACCCCGUAACUUCGGAAUAAGGGGUGCUGGAGUAAAAUCCAGUCGCAGAGAAUAGUCCCAAGCAACUGUUUAACAAAAACACAGGUUUCUGCUAAAUCGAAAGAUGAAGUAUAGGAGCUGACGCCUGCCCAGUGCUGGAAGGUUAAGGGAAAGAGUUAGGAGUAAUCCGAAGCUUAGAACUAAAGCCCCAGUGAACGGCGGCCGUAACUAUAACGGUCCUAAGGUAGCGAAAUUCCUUGUCAGGUAAGUUCUGACCCGCACGAAAGGCGUAAUGAUUUGGGCGCUGUCUCGACAAUGUACUCGGCGAAAUUGUAGUACUAGUGAAGAUGCUAGUUACCUGCGACAAGACAGAAAGACCCCAUGGAGCUUUACUGUAGCUUGAUACUGGGUUUUGAUAAUUUAUGUACAGGAUAGGUGGGAUGCAAAGAAACUAGAGCGCCAGCUUUAGCGGAGCAAACCUUGGGAUACCACCCUUAAAUUAUUGAAAUUCUAACCUGUGAUCAUGAACUGGUCAGGGGACAAUGUCAGGUGGGCAGUUUGACUGGGGCGGUCGCCUCCAAAAGAGUAACGGAGGCGCGCAAAGGUUUCCUCAGCGCGGACAGAAAUCGCGCGAAAGAGUGCAAAGGCAGAAGGAAGCUUAACUGAGAGACUGACAAGUCGACCAGAUACGAAAGUAGGUCUUAGUGAUCCGGUGGUUGUAAGUGGAAAUGCCAUCGCUCAACGGACAAAAGUUACCCUGGGGAUAACAGGCUUAUCUCCCCCAAGAGUUCACAUCGACGGGGAGGUU
This 1134-nucleotide ribosomal RNA is filed under the name human gut metagenome. RNAcentral describes it as "bacterial LSU rRNA". It matches the Rfam family "Bacterial large subunit ribosomal RNA", at positions 1333 to 2518 of the family's 2925-position model. The record is from RNAcentral.